This 253-nucleotide ribosomal RNA is filed under the name uncultured bacterium. Its description in RNAcentral is "partial 16S ribosomal RNA". It matches the Rfam family "Bacterial small subunit ribosomal RNA", at positions 524 to 776 of the family's 1533-position model. The record is from RNAcentral.
GACGAGGGGUCCUAGCGUUGUUCGGAAUCACUGGGCGUAAAGCGCAUGUAGGCGGCUUUUCAAGUCAGGUGUGAAAUCCCACAGCUCAACUGUGGAAUUGCAUUUGAAACUGCUAAGCUUGAAUAUCGAAGAGGAUGGUGGAAUUCCUGAUGUAGUGGUGAAAUACGUAGAGAUCCGGAAGAACACCAGUGGCGAAGGCGGGUCUCUGGGCCGAUACUGACGCUGAGGAGCGAAAGCGUGGGGAGCGAACAGG